GUUGAACGCUGGCGGCAUGCCUUACACAUGCAAGUCGAACGGCAGCACGGGAGCAACCCUGGUGGCGAGUGGCGAACGGGUGAGUAAUACAUCGGAACGUGCCCAGUAGUGGGGGAUAACCCGGCGAAAGCCGGACUAAUACCGCAUACGACCUACGGGUGAAAGCAGGGGAUCGCAAGACCUUGCGCUAUCGGAGCGGCCGAUGUCAGAUUAGCUAGUUGGUGGGGUAAAGGCCACCAAGGCGACGAUCUGUAGCUGGUCUGAGAGGACGACCAGCCACACUGGGACUGAGACACGGCCCAGACUCCUACGGGAGGCAGCAGUGGGGAAUUUUGGACAAUGGGCGCAAGCCUGAUCCAGCCAUGCCGCGUGCGGGAAGAAGGCCU
RNAcentral lists this ribosomal RNA (386 nucleotides) under uncultured bacterium. Its description in RNAcentral is "bacterial SSU rRNA". It matches the Rfam family "Bacterial small subunit ribosomal RNA", at positions 28 to 417 of the family's 1533-position model. The record is from RNAcentral.